This 460-nucleotide ribosomal RNA is filed under the name uncultured bacterium. Its description in RNAcentral is "partial 16S ribosomal RNA". It matches the Rfam family "Bacterial small subunit ribosomal RNA", at positions 338 to 795 of the family's 1533-position model. The record is from RNAcentral.
CCUACGGGAGGCAGCAGUGAGGAAUAUUGGUCAAUGGACGAGAGUCUGAACCAGCCAAGUAGCGUGAAGGAUGACUGCCCUAUGGGUUGUAAACUUCUUUUAUAAAGGAAUAAAACGAGGCACGUGUGCCUUUUUGCAUGUACUUUAUGAAUAAGGAUCGGCUAACUCCGUGCCAGCAGCCGCGGUAAUACGGAGGAUCCGAGCGUUAUCCGGAUUUAUUGGGUUUAAAGGGAGCGUAGAUGGGUUGUUAAGUCAGUUGUGAAAGUUUGCGGCUCAACCGUAAAAUUGCAAUUGAUACUGGCAGUCUUGAGUACAGUUGAGGUAGGCGGAAUUCGUGGUGUAGCGGUAAAAUGCUUAGAUAUAACGAAGAACCCCGAUUGCGAAGGCAGCUUACUAAACUGCGACUGACAUUGAUGCGCGAAAGUGUGGGGAUCAAACAGGAUUAGAUACCCUGGUAGUC